Molecule: ribosomal RNA, 750 nt
Filed under: uncultured bacterium
Lineage: Bacteria
Description: bacterial SSU rRNA
Rfam family: Bacterial small subunit ribosomal RNA
Source: RNAcentral
AAAACCUAAACUGCNNAGUCGACGAGAGACCUUCGGGUCUCUAGUGGCGAACGGGUGAGUAACACGUAGGGAACCCGCCCGCGCACCGGGAAUACGCUCUGGAAACGGAGAACAAAUCCCGAUGUACAGGAAGGAGGCAUCUUCUCUCUGUGAAACAUCCUUUCGGGGAUGGGGCGCGGAUGGACCUGCGGUGCAUUAGUUGGUUGGCGGGGUAAAGGCCCACCAAGACGAUGAUGCAUAGCCGAGUUGAGAGACUGAUCGGCCACAUUGGGACUGAGACACGGCCCAAACUCCUACGGGAGGCAGCAGUAGGGAAUCUUCCACAAUGGACGAAAGUCUGAUGGAGCAACGCCGCGUGAGUGAAGAAGGGUUUCGGCUCGUAAAGCUCUGUUGGUAGUGAAGAAAGAUAGAGGUAGUAACUGGCCUUUAUUUGACGGUAAUUACUUAGAAAGUCACGGCUAACUACGUGCCAGCAGCCGCGGUAAUACGUAGGUGGCAAGCGUUGUCCGGAUUUAUUGGGCGUAAAGCGAGUGCAGGCGGUUCAAUAAGUCUGAUGUGAAAGCCUUCGGCUCAACCGGAGAAUUGCAUCAGAAACUGUUGAACUUGAGUGCAGAAGAGGAGAGUGGAACUCCAUGUGUAGCGGUGGAAUGCGUACAUAAAUGGAAGACACCAGUGUCGAAGGCGGCUCUCUGGUUUGUAUUGACGCUGAGGUUCGAAGGCUUGGAUAGCGCACCCGAAUACAUACCCCGG